RNAcentral lists this ribosomal RNA (253 nucleotides) under uncultured bacterium. RNAcentral's name for it is "partial 16S ribosomal RNA". It matches the Rfam family "Bacterial small subunit ribosomal RNA", at positions 524 to 776 of the family's 1533-position model. The record is from RNAcentral.
UACGGGGGGUGCAAGCGUUACUCGGAAUCACUGGGCGUAAAGGAUGCGUAGGCGGAUUAACAAGUCUUGUGUGAAAUCCUAUGGCUUAACCAUAGAACUGCAUGGGAAACUGUUAGUCUAGAGUUCGGAAGAGGCAGAUGGAAUUAGUGGUGUAGGGGUAAAAUCCGUAGAUAUCACUAGGAAUACCGAUGGCGAAGGCGAUCUGCUGGGACGACACUGACGCUGAGGCAUGAAAGCGUGGGGAGCAAACAGG